UACGAAGGUCCCAAGCGUUGUUCGGAAUCACUGGGCGUAAAGCGUGUGUAGGCUGCGCGGAAAGUCGGAUGUGAAAGCCUGGGGCUCAACCCCGGAACUGCAUUCGAUACUCCCGCGCUAGAGUGAUGGAGAGGUAACUGGAAUUCUCGGUGUAGCAGUGAAAUGCGUAGAUAUCGAGAGGAACACCCAUGGCGAAAGCAAGUUACUGGACAUCUACUGACGCUCAGACACGAAGGCUAGGGGAGCGAAAGGG
Molecule: ribosomal RNA, 253 nt
Filed under: uncultured bacterium
Lineage: Bacteria
Description: partial 16S ribosomal RNA
Rfam family: Bacterial small subunit ribosomal RNA
Source: RNAcentral